UUUGGCAACUCCCUACUGGUGGACACACAACUUCUGAUAUUCUACUAUUGUUAUCUUUGAUUAGGUUGAUUGACUUGGUUCAUCAGGAUCAGUUCUCAAAAUUGAAGCCUGUGGAAGGCCAAUUAGGCCAUGCCCUCACCACCACCAUGAAUAGAGGAUGCCAUCGUUCAACAAAGCCUGUGGACCUGCACUGGAUAUUCAGACUAAGCAUUUCACCCCUUAUGGCUUGGUUCCACCACUCUAAGGGGCUGGUUGGCAGUGUAUCCUCUGCAACUUAUCCCGUGUGAAGCUGUUGCCACCGGUAGGGUAUGUGUUCACCACAUGUUGCUGUUGUCUGGCUUGUUUUUGCUCUAUUCAAUUUUAUUCCUACACAGGUUGCUGAGCUGUUGGGGUCAUUUGGAUAGGUUUACCUGUGAUUUCCACUAUUUGGCAAGGUUUAUUUUAUUUGUAACAAGUUGAGAGCUUAAUAGCCUUAGCUAGAUGGGAAUGUUAGAAUAUUAACAUUAUUACAUUAUUUGUCAUUUUAUAAUGACUCUUAUUUGUGUAUUUUUGCAUUUUAUAACUACAUUGGUAAAUGAUAAAUUGUUAUUUAA
Molecule: long non-coding RNA, 593 nt
Organism: Glycine soja
Lineage: Eukaryota; Viridiplantae; Streptophyta; Magnoliopsida; Fabales; Fabaceae
Exons: 2
Source: RefSeq, a predicted model, not a curated record